UGCGUGCUUAACACAUGCAAGUCGAACGCUGAAGCCUGGUGCUUGCACCGGGUGGAUGAGUGGCGAACGGGUGAGUAACACGUGAGUAACCUGCCCCUGACUUCGGGAUAAGCCCGGGAAACUGGGUCUAAUACCGGAUACGACUGCCGGACGCAUGUCUGGUGGUGGAAAGUUUUUUCGGUUGGGGAUGGGCUCGCGGCCUAUCAGUUUGUUGGUGAGGUAAUGGCUCACCAAGACGACGACGGGUAGCCGGCCUGAGAGGGCGACCGGCCACACUGGGACUGAGACACGGCCCAGACUCCUACGGGAGGCAGCAGUGGGGAAUAUUGCACAAUGGGGGAAACCCUGAUGCAGCGACGCAGCGUGCGGGAUGACGGCCUUCGGGUUGUAAACCGCUUUCAGCAGGGAAGAAGCGCAAGUGACGGUACCUGCAGAAGAAGUACCGGCUAACUACGUGCCAGCAGCCGCGGUAAUACGUAGGGUACGAGCGUUGUCCGGAAUUAUUGGGCGUAAAGAGCUCGUAGGUGGUUGGUCACGUCUGCUGUGGAAACGCAACGCUUAACGUUGCGCGUGCAGUGGGUACGGGCUGACUAGAGUGCAGUAGGGGAGUCUGGAAUUCCUGGUGUAGCGGUGAAAUGCGCAGAUAUCAGGAGGAACACCGGUGGCGAAGGCGGGACUCUGGGCUGUAACUGACACUGAGGAGCGAAAGCAUGGGGAGCGAACAGGAUUAGAUACCCUGGUAGUCCAUGCCGUAAGGGACGAUUGGGCACUAGGUGUGGGGGGCAUUCCACGUUCUCCGCGCCGUAGCUAACGCAUUAAGUGCCCCGCCUGGGGACGUACGGUCGCAAGGCUAAAACUCAAAGGAAUUGACGGGGGCCCGCACAAGCGGCGGAGCAUGCGGAUUAAUUCGAUGCAACGCGAAGAACCUUACCAAGGCUUGACAUACACCGGACCGUCCUGGAAACAGGUCCUCUUCUUUGAAGCUGGUGUACAGGUGGUGCAUGGUUGUCGUCAGCUCGUGUCGUGAGAUGUUGGGUUAAGUCCCGCAACGAGCGCAACCCUCGUUCUAUGUUGCCAGCACGUGAUGGUGGGAACUCAUAGGAGACUGCCGGGGUCAACUCGGAGGAAGGUGGGGAUGACGUCAAAUCAUCAUGCCCUUUAUGUCUUGGGCUUCACGCAUGCUACAAUGGCUGGUACAGAGAGAGGCGAACCCGUGAGGGCAAGCGAAUCCCUUAAAGCCAGUCUCAGUUCGGAUCGUAGUCUGCAAUUCGACUACGUGAAGUCGGAGUCGCUAGUAAUCGCAGAUCAGCAACGCUGCGGUGAAUACGUUCCCGGGCCUUGUACACACCGCCCGUCAAGUCACGAAAGUCGGUAACACCCGAAGCCGGUGGCCUAACCGUAAGGAGGGGGCCGUCUAAGGUGGGACUGGUGAUUGGGACUAAGUCGUACGG
RNAcentral lists this ribosomal RNA (1451 nucleotides) under Brevibacterium sp. RNAcentral's name for it is "bacterial SSU rRNA". It matches the Rfam family "Bacterial small subunit ribosomal RNA". Lineage: Bacteria; Bacillati; Actinomycetota; Actinomycetes; Micrococcales; Brevibacteriaceae. The record is from RNAcentral.